UACGGGGGGGGUAAGCGUUGUUCGGAAUUACUGGGCGUAAAGGGCUCGUAGGCGGCCAACUAAGUCAGACGUGAAAUCCCUCAGCUUAACUGGGGAACUGCGUCUGAUACUGGAUGGCUUGGAUUCGGGAGAGGAAUGCGGAAUUCCGGGUGUAGCGGUGGAAUGCGUAGAGAUCCGGAAGAACACCUGAGGCGAAGGCGGCUUGCUGGGCCUGGUCUGACGCUGAGGCGCGAAAGCGUGGGGAGCAAACAGG
This 253-nucleotide ribosomal RNA is filed under the name uncultured bacterium. Its description in RNAcentral is "partial 16S ribosomal RNA". It matches the Rfam family "Bacterial small subunit ribosomal RNA", at positions 524 to 776 of the family's 1533-position model. The record is from RNAcentral.